RNAcentral lists this ribosomal RNA (796 nucleotides) under Streptomyces sp. qf15-1. RNAcentral's name for it is "bacterial SSU rRNA". It matches the Rfam family "Bacterial small subunit ribosomal RNA", at positions 56 to 866 of the family's 1533-position model. Lineage: Bacteria; Bacillati; Actinomycetota; Actinomycetes; Kitasatosporales; Streptomycetaceae. The record is from RNAcentral.
UGCAAGUCGUACGAUGAACCACUUCGGUGGGGAUUAGUGGCGAACGGGUGAGUAACACGUGGGCAAUCUGCCCUGCACUCUGGGACAAGCCCUGGAAACGGGGUCUAAUACCGGAUACUGAUCCUCACGGGCAUCUGUGAGGGUCGAAAGCUCCGGCGGUGCAGGAUGAGCCCGCGGCCUAUCAGCUAGUUGGUGAGGUAAUGGCUCACCAAGGCGACGACGGGUAGCCGGCCUGAGAGGGCGACCGGCCACACUGGGACUGAGACACGGCCCAGACUCCUACGGGAGGCAGCAGUGGGGAAUAUUGCACAAUGGGCGAAAGCCUGAUGCAGCGACGCCGCGUGAGGGAUGACGGCCUUCGGGUUGUAAACCUCUUUCAGCAGGGAAGAAGCGAAAGUGACGGUACCUGCAGAAGAAGCGCCGGCUAACUACGUGCCAGCAGCCGCGGUAAUACGUAGGGCGCAAGCGUUGUCCGGAAUUAUUGGGCGUAAAGAGCUCGUAGGCGGCUUGUCACGUCGGUUGUGAAAGCCCGGGGCUUAACCCCGGGUCUGCAGUCGAUACGGGCAGGCUAGAGUUCGGUAGGGGAGAUCGGAAUUCCUGGUGUAGCGGUGAAAUGCGCAGAUAUCAGGAGGAACACCGGUGGCGAAGGCGGAUCUCUGGGCCGAUACUGACGCUGAGGAGCGAAAGCGUGGGGAGCGAACAGGAUUAGAUACCCUGGUAGUCCACGCCGUAAACGGUGGGCACUAGGUGUGGGCAACAUUCCACGUUGUCCGUGCCGCAGCUAACGCAUUAAGUG